UACGUAGGGUGCAAGCGUUAAUCGGAAUUACUGGGCGUAAAGCGUGCGCAGGCGGUGAUGUAAGACAGAUGUGAAAUCCCCGGGCUCAACCUGGGAACUGCAUUUGUGACUGCAUCGCUGGAGUGCGGCAGAGGGGGAUGGAACUCCGCGUGUAGCAGUGAAAUGCGUAGAUAUGCGGAGGAACACCGAUGGCGAAGGCAAUCCCCUGGGCCUGCACUGGCGCUCAUGCACGAAAGCGUGGGGAGCAAACAGG
RNAcentral lists this ribosomal RNA (253 nucleotides) under uncultured bacterium. Its description in RNAcentral is "partial 16S ribosomal RNA". It matches the Rfam family "Bacterial small subunit ribosomal RNA", at positions 524 to 776 of the family's 1533-position model. The record is from RNAcentral.